GGGAAUCAAGUUGUGGCUGUGUUUUAUCCAGAGAACAAGUUCUAUCAGGGAGAAUAUGAUGGCUAGUUAGUGCCUUAUUUGCAUUUGGUGACAUUCAGUGUGAGGCCCCUAUAUUUAGAACUUGAUGGUUUACUGUGAUGUUAUUGAUGGUACCUUGAGCUGUUUGAACUUCCUUGUUUUUCUAGGAAGCAAUUGUAUUUUGGUUGGUAAAAACUCUGCUUCGUUCUGUUUUUUCAUUUUAAAAAAAA
RNAcentral lists this unclassified non-coding RNA (248 nucleotides) under Hevea brasiliensis (rubber tree). Lineage: Eukaryota; Viridiplantae; Streptophyta; Magnoliopsida; Malpighiales; Euphorbiaceae. The record is from RNAcentral.